AUGGCAAAGGGAGAGGGACUUAAGUGAGAGUGAAAACACAAGUAACCUACUGUAUGGCAGGUGGAGGGGCAGUGAUGUUACAGGUGGAGGAGCAAAACUGCAAGACUGCAAACUCACAAGACAGAGAAAUCAAAGUUUGUUCUCCAGAGAAGAGGUUGAUUUCACUUCAUUUAUUUCAUAUUUUCUAAAGAUGUGGAAAUGGCAAAAAAAAAAACUUGAGAGCUGUAACCAAGACAACUGUAACAACAUGAGUAGAGAGCCACCAAGGUUUUUCAAGUCCCUCUCUUACUCCAUUUUGCCAACCCAAACUUCCAGUGUCCUUAUUCCUGGAAGGGGAAUCUGCAAUUCCUGCAGAGUUUUGUAACCCGUUGGUCCGCACGCAAAGCGAAUUUUUAAAGCCUUCUUAAUUGUCUCAUUGCUCCAUUUCAUCCCCUUUGUGGUGAGUCUGCCUAAUGCCUUAAG
Long non-coding RNA from Notothenia coriiceps (black rockcod), 462 nucleotides. RefSeq lists it as uncharacterized. The transcript has 3 exons. The record is from RefSeq and is a predicted model, not a curated record. Lineage: Eukaryota; Metazoa; Chordata; Actinopteri; Perciformes; Nototheniidae.